RNAcentral lists this ribosomal RNA (444 nucleotides) under uncultured bacterium. Its description in RNAcentral is "bacterial SSU rRNA". It matches the Rfam family "Bacterial small subunit ribosomal RNA", at positions 28 to 497 of the family's 1533-position model. The record is from RNAcentral.
GAUGAACGCUGGCGGGCGGUGCCUAACACAUGCAAGUCGAGCGAUCUUCUUCGGAAGAGAGCGGCGGACGGGUGAGUAACGCGUGGGUAACCUGCCCUGUACACACGGAUAACAUACCGAAAGGUAUGCUAAUACGGGAUAAUAUGCUUUUAUCGCAUGGUAGAAGUAUCAAAGCUCCGGCGGUACAGGAUGGACCCGCGUCUGAUUAGCUAGUUGGUAAGGUAACGGCUUACCAAGGCGACGAUCAGUAGCCGACCUGAGAGGGUGAUCGGCCACAUUGGAACUGAGACACGGUCCAAACUCCUACGGGAGGCAGCAGUGGGGAAUAUUGCACAAUGGGCGAAAGCCUGAUGCAGCAACGCCGCGUGAGCGAUGAAGGCCUUCGGUCGUAAAGACUCUGUCCUCAAGGAAGAUAAUGACGGUACUUGAGGAGGAAGCCCCCGG